This 279-nucleotide ribosomal RNA is filed under the name uncultured bacterium. Its description in RNAcentral is "partial 16S ribosomal RNA". It matches the Rfam family "Bacterial small subunit ribosomal RNA", at positions 506 to 784 of the family's 1533-position model. The record is from RNAcentral.
UGCCAGCCGCCGCGGUAAUACGGAGGGGGCGAGCGUUGUUCGGAUUUAUUGGGUGUAAAGGGAGCGUAGGUGGCAAUUUAAGUCAGAUGUGAAAUCUUGUGGCUCAACCAUAAAAGUGCAUUUGAAACUAGAUAGCUUGAGUUUGGAAGAAGAGAGUGGAAUUCUUAGUGUAGCGGUGAAAUGCGUAGAUAUUAAGCAGAACACCGGUGGCGAAGGCGGCUCUCUAUUCUGAAACUGACACUGAGGCUCGAAAGCUAGGGGAGCGAACGGGAUUAGAUA